CGUACACUCCUGCGGGAGGCAGCAGUGGGGAAUAUUGGACAAUGGGCGCAAGCCUGAUCCAGCCAUGCCGCGUGAGUGAUGAAGGCCCUAGGGUUGUAAAGCUCUUUCACCGGUGAAGAUAAUGACGGUAACCGGAGAAGAAGCCCCGGCUAACUUCGUGCCAGCAGCCGCGGUAAUACGAAGGGGGCUAGCGUUGUUCGGAUUUACUGGGCGUAAAGCGCACGUAGGCGGACUAUUAAGUCAGGGGUGAAAUCCCGGGGCUCAACCCCGGAACUGCCUUUGAUACUGGUAGUCUUGAGUUCGAGAGAGGUGAGUGGAAUUCCGAGUGUAGAGGUGAAAUUCGUAGAUAUUCGGAGGAACACCAGUGGCGAAGGCGGCUCACUGGCUCGAUACUGACGCUGAGGUGCGAAAGCGUGGGGAGCAAACAGGAUUAGAUACCCGUGUAGUCCCAU
This 452-nucleotide ribosomal RNA is filed under the name uncultured organism. Its description in RNAcentral is "partial 16S ribosomal RNA". It matches the Rfam family "Bacterial small subunit ribosomal RNA", at positions 330 to 798 of the family's 1533-position model. The record is from RNAcentral.